Molecule: long non-coding RNA, 1526 nt
Organism: Glycine soja
Lineage: Eukaryota; Viridiplantae; Streptophyta; Magnoliopsida; Fabales; Fabaceae
Exons: 5
Source: RefSeq, a predicted model, not a curated record
AUAGUACCCAUGAUUUCUUUCAAGCUGCUCACCAUAAUUAUUGUUGGUACCAAGAAAUGGUUUAUCCAAGUGGUACUAGACACGAAUCCCUUAAGCAUGUAGUAAAGGGUUUGAAUCCUGACGAAUGCAUAUAUGGAGAAAAUCUUGUUGAGAGGGAGAUCCCACUUAUGAGUGCCAACAGGUCCCUUGGAGGAUAUUAAAAUCCCCUUGGCCGGAAGCAGAUAUACUUAUUUGCAAUCGUAUGCAACAACAACAAUUAUUGUUGAGAAGUCUUACAGUCAUUGCGAAUAGCCAAUUAGCCGCCAACAAAAUGAUGUUAUUUUAAGAGUUUAUUCUUCUGUGAAAUCAUUUUAAGAUUUGUGAUAUAUGCUAUUGUUUUGCCAUUAUUUUCAUUUCAUUUUUACCUUCUGCAGACAAGAUUUUGCAAGAAAUUGAUGCUGUAUCCUACAGAUUGCUUGGCUAACUUCUUUUUGGCACUAUCAGAAUAUUCUAUAAAAAGGUUGAAUAUGUGCUUGAAGAUUGUAAUGAGGUUCUCGUCAAAAUCAACAAAUUUGUGGUCAACAAAGAAGGCUUAGUAUGUGUGGAAACGUUGUGUAUGCCUGUUACUAAACCAGAAAGAUUUGAGUUGGAUGCUUUUGAGUUAGAUGAACCUGAAGAUGCUGGCAGGUAUAUAGUUAGAAAGAGCAUAAAGAGUGCAAAAGACAUAGUUCGUUUCCCUUUCCAACAGGAUGCCACCAUACUUUACUUAUUGCACACUGUGUACAGAGGCAGAGAGAAUCUCCCAUUACUUACUGUGCACUAUGUUGCCUUGAAAUUGUGGAAACUCCAAGGAUGUUUGAUGUACCUGAAUCUCAGGAUUUUGACAUUCCAAUUUUUAUUGAGAUAAAAUCCUUUUGGAAUCUCCCGAAACAAAUGAAGUGCCUCAUUUGAUGGAUGAGGAAACAAAUUCAUGUGGAACUAUAUAACCAAUCAGAAUUAUUAGCUGGCUUUGGAAAGUUGUCAGUUUGAUUAUUGCUUACAAGAUUGGCUUAUGAUGGUCUUCUUUAAUGAUGUACCGGAAAGUUGCAAGUUGCCUACUUCAGAGUUUUCUGUGUGCAAGAAAACAAAGAGAGGAGGACAUUGUAAACUUUUCACAAGUUUUUGUAGGCCAGGCACGGAAAGAAUCUGCACUGCUAUUUAAUGAAAAGAUUGGUGACUUCUGUAAAAAAAAAAAAGUUUGGUGACUAAUUUUCUUAUGGCAGUGAUGCAGAAACUUGAGUUAUGUUUUCUUGUCUUACUACUCUGCUUUUUCUGUAGAUGACAUACUUUGUUAAAGGAUGAAAAUUUGUUCUUCGUAACUAUCAAUUCUACUUUUAUCUGAGUGAUGAUAACAGGAAAAUGUGGAAUUGUCGUUGUCCAGUCGGUUUGUUUGUCAAACAAUAGUGAUGUACUUCUAUAACUUUUUUUAGGGUGAUCGAUGCCCUUUCAGUUAAUGGAUCAACUUUGUCUGAUUGGAAUAUAAGUAUAUCAAUCUCCAAUGCAACGUG